AGGAAUAUUGGUCAAUGGGGGCAACCCUGAACCAGCCAAGUCGCGUGAAGGAUGAAGGUCUUAUGGAUUGUAAACUUCUUUUAUACAGGAAUAAAUUGGGGGACGUGUCCCCUUUUGCAUGUACUGUAUGAAUAAGGAUCGGCUAACUCCGUGCCAGCAGCCGCGGUAAUACGGAGGAUCCGAGCGUUAUCCGGAUUUAUUGGGUUUAAAGGGUGCGCAGGCGGGAUGUUAAUUCGGCGGUGAAAUUUUGCAGCUCAACUGUAAAAGUGCCUUCGAUACUGGCCUCCUUGAGUGUGGAUGAAGUAGGCGGAAUUUGUGGUGUAGCGGUGAAAUGCUUAGCUAUCACGAGGAACUCCGAUUGCGCAGGCAGCUUACUAAGCCACAACUGACGCUCAUGCACGAAGGCGUGGGGAUCAAACA
This 420-nucleotide ribosomal RNA is filed under the name uncultured bacterium. RNAcentral describes it as "bacterial SSU rRNA". It matches the Rfam family "Bacterial small subunit ribosomal RNA", at positions 357 to 774 of the family's 1533-position model. The record is from RNAcentral.